AAACAUGAGUGGUCUGCUUAUAUUUUGUUAUUCUUUAUUUAUGCAGAUUUAAGUUUAUAUUAUGGCUUUUUUAUUUUCACUACAUAAUACUAUAAAUAAAAAUAUGUUGAUCGAUCUUAACUAUGUGGAUUAGUCGAGGAACUUGCAAGUUAGGUUCGUAUCGGAGAAGAACUUCGAUGUUCUGGAUAUUUCUGAUCUUGGGAUGGUCAUUAAUAAUGAGAAGGCA
Molecule: long non-coding RNA, 226 nt
Filed under: Elaeis guineensis (African oil palm)
Lineage: Eukaryota; Viridiplantae; Streptophyta; Magnoliopsida; Arecales; Arecaceae
Description: long non-coding RNA (EGUI_LNC081399)
Source: RNAcentral